Molecule: small RNA, 998 nt
Filed under: Pan troglodytes (chimpanzee)
Lineage: Eukaryota; Metazoa; Chordata; Mammalia; Primates; Hominidae
Description: retained intron
Source: RNAcentral
GGGACGUGGACUUGUGCCUGCUCAGCGCCGGCGCUGUUCUUUCAGCAUCUACGAGAAGCUGAUCCAGUUCUGUGCCAUUGACGAGCUUGGCACCAACUACCCAAAGGUGCGUCUGGCACACGGGGCUGGAGGGUGAUGGGGACACCCAGGGUCCUUUGCUUGUUCCAUGGGAUUUGACCUGCAGCCACAGAAAGGUCCAUGUGGUGGCACGGCUCGUUGAAAGCACAGUCCCCGUCUCUUUUGUUUGAGUCCCUAUUGUUCUGAAAUAGUCCAAUAAAGAGAUUCCGGUGGCCGGCCUGGUGCCUGGCCCCUGACUGGUGGGGACAUGUGUGGACCUGCUGCUCCUGGGGUUCGCUGGAUGGGGGCUUCAUGCUCUCAUGUUCUUCAGCACUUGCCAGCCGCCCCUUGGCUAAAGACCAAAGAUGACAGCCGAGCCCCGGGAUAUGUUUGAUCCCCAUGGCUGGUCUGAGGACUCCUACUAUGAGGCAUUAGCCAAGGCCCAGAAAAUUGAGAUGGACAAAUUGGAAAAGGCCAAAAAGGAGCGAACAAAAAUUGAGUUUGUGACGGGCACCAAGAAAGGCACCACGACCAACGCCACGUCCACCACCACUACCACUGCCAGCACAGCUGUUGCAGAUGCUCAGAAGAGAAAGAGCAAGUGGGACUCGGCUAUCCCAGUGACAACGAUAGCCCAGCCCACCAUCCUCACCACCACAGCCACCCUGCCAGCUGUUGUCACGGUCACCACCAGCGCCAGCGGCUCCAAGACCACCGUCAUCUCUGCUGUGGGCACCAUUGUGAAGAAGGCCAAGCAGUGACCUCAGGGGCCACCCUAGGACUUGAAAGGACCGUGCAGCCCAGUGACCACUGCCCAGUGGGAGGCGCCACUUUGUAUAUUUCAGGACUGGGACCUGCUCCCCAGAUGCCACCUGAGAGGAGCUUCUGUUUGGCAUUCCAGAUGGAAGGACAGGCAGCACGGGAGCCAGGCGCUGUGGACA